This 850-nucleotide ribosomal RNA is filed under the name Pseudomonas sp. BACT-31. RNAcentral's name for it is "bacterial SSU rRNA". It matches the Rfam family "Bacterial small subunit ribosomal RNA", at positions 84 to 932 of the family's 1533-position model. The record is from RNAcentral. Lineage: Bacteria; Pseudomonadati; Pseudomonadota; Gammaproteobacteria; Pseudomonadales; Pseudomonadaceae.
UUCUCUUGAGAGCGGCGGACGGGUGAGUAAUGCCUAGGAAUCUGCCUGGUAGUGGGGGAUAACGCUCGGAAACGGACGCUAAUACCGCAUACGUCCUACGGGAGAAAGCAGGGGACCUUCGGGCCUUGCGCUAUCAGAUGAGCCUAGGUCGGAUUAGCUAGUUGGUGAGGUAAUGGCUCACCAAGGCGACGAUCCGUAACUGGUCUGAGAGGAUGAUCAGUCACACUGGAACUGAGACACGGUCCAGACUCCUACGGGAGGCAGCAGUGGGGAAUAUUGGACAAUGGGCGAAAGCCUGAUCCAGCCAUGCCGCGUGUGUGAAGAAGGUCUUCGGAUUGUAAAGCACUUUAAGUUGGGAGGAAGGGCAUUAACCUAAUACGUUGGUGUCUUGACGUUACCGACAGAAUAAGCACCGGCUAACUCUGUGCCAGCAGCCGCGGUAAUACAGAGGGUGCAAGCGUUAAUCGGAAUUACUGGGCGUAAAGCGCGCGUAGGUGGUUCGUUAAGUUGGAUGUGAAAUCCCCGGGCUCAACCUGGGAACUGCAUUCAAAACUGACGAGCUAGAGUAUGGUAGAGGGUGGUGGAAUUUCCUGUGUAGCGGUGAAAUGCGUAGAUAUAGGAAGGAACACCAGUGGCGAAGGCGACCACCUGGACUGAUACUGACACUGAGGUGCGAAAGCGUGGGGAGCAAACAGGAUUAGAUACCCUGGUAGUCCACGCCGUAAACGAUGUCAACUAGCCGUUGGGAGCCUUGAGCUCUUAGUGGCGCAGCUAACGCAUUAAGUUGACCGCCUGGGGAGUACGGCCGCAAGGUUAAACUCAAAUGAAUUGACGGGGCCCGCACAAGCGG